AUUAAACUUCCCUAUUGAUUCUGCUUAUCAGGUUGCAAAAGGUGAUCACAUGAUCUUGGGACACAUUCACUGUCAUAAGUAUGAACCAGUUGCCAAGCAUCUGAAUUUUGAUCCCGGUGGGAGCCAUGUUACCAAGGUCGCAAGUGCAAAACAAGUCACUUCUUUCAGUGCCAGGUUGUAACUUUGAACUGUCACUGAAGGAUCUGCCCGUAUGUUCAGGCAGGGCCACGAUGCUGGCAGCCUCUUGUGCCAACCCGGAGAGAGCCAGCCGCUCUCUUCUUUGCUGAAGGCCCAGCUGCAGAGCGGGGACAGCGGCUGCCCUCUUUCCGUUUCUUCGCAGAAGCCUCAUCAGGGGGAAACGGCCCGUCGCUUCCGAAAAGCGCUUUAGCACCAGCCACCCUGCACACGACGGCGGCAGCGAAGCGUAAAGGGCAAGAAAGGAGGCGAGGCGCGAAGAGACGACAGGGAGGCGACCCCACAGCUUCACUUCGCUCCCAGCUCCACUCCGGUCCCUGUCAUGGGUGUGAGGGGAGACGUACUUUCUCCGCAGGAACGCUGGUUGGGCAACACGCAUAGCCUGAGAGGCGUGGUUUGGCCUGCGCUGCGAUGGCGGGGCGGAGCGCUAAAAACAACCCCGCAGUCACUGCGGGCGGCGUUUCUCCUUCUCUGCCUUCGCCGUCUCCUCGCUUCCCGAGAUAAGAUGUGGCUGUUAAUAAUUGCAGUAAGCUUAUUCCAAGGCCUGGUAAAUUCAGCAAUGCUUGACAGAAGAAAAAGAGGUGGACCCAGAAACAUCCAUGAACAUUGACAAGAAAACCAAGAAAAUAAAUAAUUGAAUUAAAUCUAAUGGACAGAUUCCUGAAAUAAAGGACUGAGGUUUUUUAUAAUAAAGGACACAUGGUCCGUGUACAUGUGCAAUGCGGUUAGAGUGCACACAGAAAGUUUAAGAUGGUGAGCAUGAUAAUGUGGUUGAAGGUCCCACUCAAUAUGCAGUGCAUUAAAAAACAGUCUG
This 1009-nucleotide long non-coding RNA is filed under the name Naja naja (Indian cobra). RNAcentral's name for it is "lncRNA (ENSNNAG00000008028.1)". Lineage: Eukaryota; Metazoa; Chordata; Lepidosauria; Squamata; Elapidae. The record is from RNAcentral.